Molecule: long non-coding RNA, 769 nt
Organism: Anolis sagrei ordinatus
Lineage: Eukaryota; Metazoa; Chordata; Lepidosauria; Squamata; Anolidae
Source: RefSeq, a predicted model, not a curated record
CACCAGUCUCCUUUUCCUGAAGGCACCAGGCCAUCACUGUCCUUCUUAGCCAUUACCUUGUCAACUUGGCCAUCUAUUAUCAACAAAAUGAUGCUGUCCUUGAGGCUGAGGUAGUAGAUUGAAUAGUUGUGGAGCCUUAUUCUCCCUCUGAGCUAACUAUACAAUCUACUGUCUUUCCUAAGGAGACAGUAAAGUCAUCUGCUGCUAUGCAACCAUCCUCGCCUGAUGCUGGUCUACUUGGAUUCAAAUCAGCUGCUGCAGACAAGAAGACUUUGACACCCAGCCCAGGAUUCUGCACAUUGAAAAUGCAGCAAGACUUGGCCCUGAAGAGUCAAGAAUGCCUCAGAGUUCUAACAGCAGUUGCAAAACAUAUGAAGCCUCUAUCCUGCUUUGUGGAGGAUAUCUUGUAUCAUUGUAGACCAUUUGGCAGCUUCCAUGACUCAAGCAGUCAGGAAAAAGAAAAUGGCAGCCAUCAAAUCAGCAUCACUGUGCUGGAGAAAAGUACCAUAUGCACACUUGCCCUGCCUUGCCUUAGUGAUGAACGAUCAUAUUUGGAGAGACAGAUGAGAUAAGAUGAACAUGUUCAUGUGUGUUUCUCAUUGAUGGCAUUAAUUCAAUAAGUAAUUCAAGCUGAACUUGAUGAGACAAAAUAAAUGCCUCCAAAUGGUGUACCAUUUAGCUGUCUUACUGUGCUUCUAGAUAACACUUUUCUUGUGGAAGCAUCUUGUGUUAUUCAGAUAAUAAACUGGUUUUUUCUUUGUUCUUCAUA